GCUCCCAUAGUUUAAUGGUAAAACGUUGCCAUGGUAAGGCAAAAAUGCCGGUUCGAUUCCGACUGGGAGCU
Molecule: transfer RNA, 71 nt
Filed under: Bacilli bacterium
Lineage: Bacteria; Bacillati; Bacillota; Bacilli
Also listed under: 1 other name
Description: tRNA-Thr
Rfam family: tRNA
About the family: Transfer RNA (tRNA) molecules are approximately 80 nucleotides in length. Their secondary structure includes four short double-helical elements and three loops (D, anti-codon, and T loops).
Source: RNAcentral